UGCAGGAGUACUUUCGUAUACCGCUGAGCAGCCUGAGGUCGGUGCUCAGUGCGGCUCACAUCACCACCGUCCGACUGAUCAUCCAGUACUACAGCAGAUACAAGGAAACGCUGCAGUUGCCUGACCAGUACCUGUCCACCAUGGUGUCAGUGCUGCUCCAGACCCACGUGACAAAAGAUUUCAGUCUCUUCCCCGAGCUGGCUCCCCUGUUGGCCGCGGCCAGCACAGCUGACAUCCAAUCGUUGCCCUCGCUGCAGAAAGACAUCAUUGUGAGGGAGACCAUCAACAGAAACCUGGGGCACAUGACUGUGGACCAGCGGGACGCGUUCGGCCAGUGGUACAGCAAAGACAUGCCGCCGGCCAAAAUCACCGAAGGUCAUCACUCACUCAUUAGGGACACUGGAGACCUGAUCGCCUACCUGCCCUUCCGCAACUUCCAACACCUCUCGUGGCUCAGGUAACGGCUCUGACACCUCCCUGGGACAUCCGAGAAAGCAGGACUCUGUGAGUCCGAUUAGCGCCGGGUCACCGCAGGGCUGCUCGUCGUCACGCACUGGUCAAAAGAAAGCACACGCAGCCUCCUCUUUCUCCGUCACCCCCAAUGUGUGUCAUAUGCCUCGCCAAUGUUCAAUGAGUAAAGAUACUGUAGGCACACGUGAAUUACCAGUGAGCAGGAAAUAGGGGGUCACUGACCUUUCAGCAC
Molecule: long non-coding RNA, 703 nt
Filed under: Scophthalmus maximus (turbot)
Lineage: Eukaryota; Metazoa; Chordata; Actinopteri; Pleuronectiformes; Scophthalmidae
Description: lncRNA (ENSSMAG00000033744.1)
Source: RNAcentral